CGCCUGGGGAGUGCGGCCGCAAGGUUAAAACUCAAAUGAAUUGACGGGGGCCCGCACAAGCGGUGGAGCAUGUGGUUUAAUUCGACGCAACGCGAAGAACCUUACCUGGCUUUGACAUGCAGAGAACUUUCCAGAGAUGGAUUGGUGCCUUCGGGAACUCUGACACAGGUGCUGCAUGGCCGUCGUCAGCUCGUGUCGUGAGAUGUUGGGUUAAGUCCCGUAACGAGCGCAACCCCUAUCCCUAGUUGCUAGCAGUUCGGCUGAGAACUCUAGGGAGACUGCCGGUGACAAACCGGAGGAAGGUGGGGAUGACGUCAGGUCAUCAUGGCCCUUACGGCCAGGGCUACACACGUGCUACAAUGGCGCGCACAGAGGGCUGCAAACCCGCGAGGGGGAGCCAAUCUCACAAAACGCGUCGUAGUCCGGAUCACAGUCUGCAACUCGACUGCGUGAAGUCGGAAUCGCUAGUAAUCGUGAAUCAGAAUGUCACGGUGAAUACGUUCCCGGGCCUUGUACACACCGCCCGUCACACCAUGGGAGUGGAUUGCACCAGAAGUGGUUAGUCUAACCUUCGGGAGGACGAUCACCACGGUGUGGUUCAUGACUGGGGUGAAGUCGUAACAAGGUAACCGUA
This 634-nucleotide ribosomal RNA is filed under the name uncultured Marinobacter sp. RNAcentral describes it as "bacterial SSU rRNA". It matches the Rfam family "Bacterial small subunit ribosomal RNA", at positions 870 to 1504 of the family's 1533-position model. Lineage: Bacteria; Pseudomonadati; Pseudomonadota; Gammaproteobacteria; Pseudomonadales; Marinobacteraceae. The record is from RNAcentral.